UCCGUAGGUGAACCUGCGGGAGGGUCAUUAGUGAAUUUAGAGCGUAACUUCGGUUAGCUCAACCUUCAUUUUCCAACUCUGUGCACUAUUGGCGGGCUGGGGGCAAGUAAUUGCUAUUCAGUCUGCGGCUCACUAUUAAACAUUAGUUAAAGUAUGUAUAUAAAAACAAAACAAAAAAACUUUCAACAACGGGUCUCUUGGCUCUCGCAUCGAUGAAGAACGCAGCGAAAUGUGAUAAGUAAUGUGAAUUGCAGAAUUCAGUGAAUCAUCGAAUCUUUGAACGCACCUUGCGCUCUCUGGUAUUCCGGGGAGCAUGUCUGUUUGAGUGUCAUGAACUCUUCAACCUACCGAUUUCUAGUAAAUCGGGUUAGUGUUUGGGUUUUGAACGCUUGCUGGCCUUUAUUGGCGAAGCUCGUUCGUAAAUGAUUAGCAUCUCAUAUUCGAAAAUCGGGUUGACUCAGUGUAAUAGACUAUUCGCUGAGGGCGCUCUUUCGGGGGUGGCCGAGUUUUGUAAAGUAGAAGCUUCUAAUUCUAUUAGUCAACUUUAGAUUAGACCUCAGAUCAGGCAGGGUUACCCGCUGAACUUAAGCAUAUCAAUAAGCGGGGGGAAAG
Molecule: ribosomal RNA, 612 nt
Filed under: Curvibasidium cygneicollum
Lineage: Eukaryota; Fungi; Basidiomycota; Microbotryomycetes
Description: eukaryotic LSU rRNA
Rfam family: 5.8S ribosomal RNA (bases 178-331)
Source: RNAcentral